GUCAGAGAUGACUUCCUUCAGUUCGGCUGGCUAGAACACAGGUGCUGCAUGGCUGUCCUCAGCUCGAUGUCGUGAGAUGUUGGGUUGAGUCCCGCAACGAGCGCAACCCUCGCUACUAGUUGCUACCAGGUUAAGCUGAGCACUCUAGUGGAACUGCCGGUGGCAAGCCGGAGGAAGGUGGGGAUGACGUCAAGUCCUCAUGGCCCUUACGCGUGGGGCUACACACGUGCUACAAUGGUGGUGACAGAGGGAUAAUCCCUAAAAGCCAUCUCAGUUCGGAUUGUCCUCUGCAACUCGAGGGCAUGAAGUUGGAAUCGCUAGUAAUCGCGGAUCAGCAUGCCGCGGUGAAUACGUUCCCGGGCCUUGUACACACCGCCCGUCACACCAUGGGAGUUGGUUCUACCCGAAGGCGCUGCGCUAACC
RNAcentral lists this ribosomal RNA (423 nucleotides) under uncultured bacterium. RNAcentral's name for it is "bacterial SSU rRNA". It matches the Rfam family "Bacterial small subunit ribosomal RNA", at positions 999 to 1440 of the family's 1533-position model. The record is from RNAcentral.